RNAcentral lists this transfer RNA (72 nucleotides) under Trichonephila inaurata madagascariensis. It matches the Rfam family "tRNA". Rfam says of the family: Transfer RNA (tRNA) molecules are approximately 80 nucleotides in length. Their secondary structure includes four short double-helical elements and three loops (D, anti-codon, and T loops). The record is from Rfam by way of RNAcentral. Lineage: Eukaryota; Metazoa; Arthropoda; Arachnida; Araneae; Nephilidae.
AGCAGAGUGCGGCAGUGGAAGCGUGCUGGGUCCAUAACCCAGAGGUCUGUGGAUCAAAACCACGAUCUGCUA